This 2040-nucleotide long non-coding RNA is filed under the name Felis catus (domestic cat). Its description in RNAcentral is "lncRNA (ENSFCAG00000053448.1)". Lineage: Eukaryota; Metazoa; Chordata; Mammalia; Carnivora; Felidae. The record is from RNAcentral.
CUGGCUCCUCCAUCUGUGACGUGAUGAUUCAGGGCAAAAGUGGACCUGUCAGAAACAGGAAGGGAAGAUAAGAUAAAAAUAAAACAAAAUAAAGUAAAAAGUUAGCCAGACAUAACUUUCUCCGCGCAGCAACAUUCACAUCCUUAAAACAAAAAUCCCACAGCAGAGCCCAGAAUGGGGGCCAGACUUUGGGCUCCAGGUCAAGACUGGAGAGCAGCGGGGGAAGGGAUUCAGCGCCCUGCACCCGCCCAGAUGCGGGAACAGAGAGCCAGGCGGCCCGGCCAGGACCCAGGGCUGUGGGCAGUGGGGCUGCCUCAGCUCUGCACGCUGUGCUCAGCCCCCCUUCACCCCAAGAGCCAGCGAGCUGGGGAGCUGCAGCGUGAUUGAUGGGCCCCAGCUUGAAUGGAAAGUCCAGAUUCCAGGGAGACCGCUUCAGAGGGCUGCUGCGGGAGGCAGCGGGUGCCACACCAGUCCCAGGAGCCUGGCCCUCGCUUUCCCAGUUUGUGGGGUUCCUGAACUUCCCAGACUUCCCUGUCCCGGGUCAGUUAAUCAGGGAUCCUGCGAUUUGCACACGUGCUGACGUUUGUCGGUGGCUGAGUCCUUUUCCACCAGCAGCAUGGAGUCUGAGGCGUCAGGUGGGACCACUUCCUUUCUCUGGGCCCAGGAAGGUGUUCUGUGGGCAUUCUUCCUUAGAAAGAAAAGAACCAAGCUCGCCAUUUAUCCUUGCGUUUGGAGCCUGGCAUCGUCAGGAACUGCACUGACCUUGCAAAACACUCCACCUGCCGUUUCCAAGAAAUAUUCUGUUCUCUGAGAUUGCUGGAGCCCAGACCAUCAUCAAUGAUGCAAACCUGAAGUCAGAGCUGAGAAAGGCCCCUGAUACACACACCAGUAGUGGUCUGUAAGACUCUCACCGGCUUGUUCUCACCGGCUUGAUCAAAACCCACUGCUUAUUACUGGCUCUUUUAUUUGUCUAUGUUUGUAUGAAUACAGUUUGUUAAACUGUACUAGGAUUGUUCUUAUGCCCAAACUUUGUAUUUUUGAAAAGAUACAAGGCUACAGACCAUUAUUGUUCCUAAAAACAAAAACAGCAAUGUGAUUCUUACAUAUGUGGAAUAUACAUAACUCAGAUCCCCUACAUUUGAGACUUACAGAAAGGAAGUAUAGGGAUUGGGGCCUCACUUGUUGAGGGGGGUGGGCUAGGAUAGGGCCACCCCCAAUGUCUCCAUCCAGGUGAGAGCACAAGAAACCGGGGAGGGGGGCGGCAAGUUCUUUAGGGCCCCCCAGGGAAGCCAGCCUCUGAGCCUAGAACUCAAAUCCCCUAUGUUUCAUGGCACAACCUGGAUGUUCCUCCCAUAAGUGCAUGUGGAGAGGACUGGCCCAGCACCCACUGCACUGACUGACCACCCAGCAUGAAACAGUGGUCACAAGGCUUGGUUUCCAGGUAGCUCUUUUAUCUUGGGCAAGUCAUUUUACUCCUCUGGUCCUCAGUUUCCAUGCAAAUCUGUGCAUAAAGGUCUCUCCUGGCUCUAAAAGGUCAGGAGUCUGUAAAAAACAUCAGCCACGGAGCUGGCAAAGAGAUUGAUGGGGACUUGUCAGGGGCAUCAUUGUCGCUGUCCUCACUAGUUGAGGGUGGGCAGAGGCUGGACGACCCUGCAGACCAGUGACCUGAGGUUUCUCCCGUCCCCCUGACCUCAUUGGUCUGCCUCCUUCUUGGGCCCAAGGUUGUCAGACUCUCCUCUCCUUGGGAGACAGUCACAGUGGGUUCUAGCUCUAUGUUCUUUGAUGUUUCCUGUCAGAGUGACUUGAAAUCCCAGAUCUUCAAGUAGCCCCUUCACGCAUAGCUUUUCUUUUCUUGGAAAUGCUGAUCCUCCAUUGACACCCCACCCCUGCAGUGGAGUAGAGCUGCCUGGGCCACUUCCGUGACGGCAGGUCUACGCGAGUCACAGGGAUUUGAAGCUGAAGGGACCUUCUCGAGCGUUGACUCCAACUCUUUUAUUUCCUAGAUGAGAAUAAAAGGCCCCAAGAGGGGAAGUGACUCCA